Molecule: non-coding RNA, 578 nt
Organism: Onthophagus taurus
Lineage: Eukaryota; Metazoa; Arthropoda; Insecta; Coleoptera; Scarabaeidae
Source: RefSeq, a predicted model, not a curated record
UUGAGGUUAUCUUUUUAGUUUUCGUGAUUUUUUAUUUUUAAAUUAAAUUUAAGUUGGUUGCAUUGACAAAUGAAGUAAUGUCAUUUAUGAAAUCAGCUGGUAUUAAUUUAUUUUUUAUUAUUUCUUAAAUUUAUUUGAUUUUGUUGAAUAGAAAAGGUGUUUAUUGAAGAGAUUUUAAUGGAAAUUAACCUAAAGAUGCCGUGGAUGAUGAAAAAUCAAUUAAAAUUGAUGUUUAUCAAAAUUUUUAACUCCGAUAAUCAUUAAUCGGAAGAAAAGGAUUUUUGUUUGGGAAUAACACGGAAAAUAAAAAAUAUGAGGUUUUAUCAAGAAAAGAUGUUUAUUGAAGAGAUUUUAAUAGAAACUAACCUAAAGAUACCAUGGAUGAUGAAAAACCAAUUAAAACCGAGGUUCAUUCAGAUUUUUUUUUACUUCAAUAACCACUAAUUGGAAGAAAAGGAUUUUUGUUUGGGAAUAAUACGGAAAAUAAGAAAUAAAAUGAAUUUAUUAAGAAAAGGUAUUUAUUGAAGAGAUUUUAAUGGAAAUUAACCUAAAGAUACCACGUUAGUAAAUAAUUAAUA